Transfer RNA from Aspergillus nidulans FGSC A4, 156 nucleotides. It matches the Rfam family "tRNA". Rfam says of the family: Transfer RNA (tRNA) molecules are approximately 80 nucleotides in length. Their secondary structure includes four short double-helical elements and three loops (D, anti-codon, and T loops). Lineage: Eukaryota; Fungi; Ascomycota; Eurotiomycetes; Eurotiales; Aspergillaceae. The record is from Rfam.
GUCAGUAUGGCCGAGUGGUUAAGGCGCUAGACUGUAUGAUGCUCCUUCAUAUCCUUGAUGUCAUUCGACACUAAAUAGCUAACUUUUCAUAAGUGAACCCUUUGUUCAAAACAUCUAGUUCUUUCGAGAUCGUAGGUUCGAACCCUACUGCUGACG